Molecule: long non-coding RNA, 716 nt
Organism: Cuculus canorus (common cuckoo)
Lineage: Eukaryota; Metazoa; Chordata; Aves; Cuculiformes; Cuculidae
Exons: 2
Source: RefSeq, a predicted model, not a curated record
GAGGAAACCAAGCAUUUCAGUGAUGUCAUGUGUACCCAUGAUGCAUGCAAUUUGGAGUUUCAAGGAAGGUCACCUCCCUUAUGCAUCACCUAUAUAGAAAUUCAUCAGAUGUAUAGUCUCCUAUGUCUUUUGGAAACAUGACUCCCAGCAUCCACUAUCAUUUGGUCCAGUUUUUUUGUCUGGAGAUAAAAAAGAUUAUGAAAGACCAGGGACAAUUCAUAUAUAAUGCAGUUAUUUAUGCUGAUACCUAUCCACAAUGCAAUGCCUGUUGGCACCUUUUGUCAUGUCAGCAGAACCAUUGAUAGACAGUUUAAGAGAAAGGGAGAAAAAAACUAAUAAAAAAAAUAAAACCAGGGAAUGACAUUCAUAAAAUUUACUUUUUAUGUGGAAGCUACUUUAUAAAACAUUUCAAUCUCUUCAAAAUCUAUCCAAGAACUAUUCAAAAUAAUAAAGGAAUAUGGCUCAAUUUCUGACAGUAAGAUAAAUGAUAUGAAGCAAGAGUUAUGAAGCCAACUGGAAGGAAUGCAAAUAGUAUUAGUACUCUGGAUAUAUUUGAACAGAAACAAAAGGGAUCGAGGUAGAUAGUUACUACUCAAGAGAAGGAUUUUAAUGCUAUUGCAGACAUUUAUCAAGUAAUAAAAUGUUUACCUGAAGCAAUUUUCCUUUUUCUUAGCAGACAAAAUAGAGAUCAUUGAAAUAAAACUUCAUGAAAAACA